CUUUUAUAGGAUAGUAGUUUAAUCCAUUGGUCUUAGGAACCAAAAACCUUGGUGCAACUCCAAAUAAAAGUAA
This 73-nucleotide transfer RNA is filed under the name Mus terricolor (Earth-colored mouse). Its description in RNAcentral is "tRNA-Leu". It matches the Rfam family "tRNA". Rfam says of the family: Transfer RNA (tRNA) molecules are approximately 80 nucleotides in length. Their secondary structure includes four short double-helical elements and three loops (D, anti-codon, and T loops). Lineage: Eukaryota; Metazoa; Chordata; Mammalia; Rodentia; Muridae. The record is from RNAcentral.